UGCCCGGCCCAGGGCGUACAAAACGGGCAGCGCAGGGGAAGCGACCCCCGAUAUCAAAGCGUA
Molecule: non-coding RNA, 63 nt
Organism: Clostridiales bacterium 42_27
Lineage: Bacteria; Bacillati; Bacillota; Clostridia; Eubacteriales
Source: Rfam